RNAcentral lists this ribosomal RNA (441 nucleotides) under uncultured bacterium. Its description in RNAcentral is "partial 16S ribosomal RNA". It matches the Rfam family "Bacterial small subunit ribosomal RNA", at positions 338 to 795 of the family's 1533-position model. The record is from RNAcentral.
CCUACGGGAGACAGCAGUGGGGAAUAUUGCACAAUGGGGGAAACCCUGAUGCAGCGACGCCGCGUGAGUGAAGAAGUAUUUCGGUAUGUAAAGCUCUAUCAGCAGGAACGAGACAAGACGGUACCUGACUAAGAAGCCCCGGCUAACUACGUGCCAGCAGCCGCGGUAAUACGUAGGGGGCAAGCGUUAUCCGGAAUCACUGGGUGUAAAGGGAGCGUAGACGGCUGUGCAAGCCUGAUGUGAAAGCCUGGGGCUCAACCCCGGGACUGCAUUUGGAACUGUGCUGCUAGAGUGUCGGAGAGGCAGGCGGAAUUCCUAGUGUAGCGGUGAAAUGCGUAGAUAUUAGGAGGAACACCAGUGGCGAAGGCGGCCUGCUGGACGAUGACUGACGUUGAGGCUCGAAAGCGUGGGGAGCAAACAGGAUUAGAUACCCUUGUAGUC